Molecule: ribosomal RNA, 245 nt
Filed under: uncultured bacterium
Lineage: Bacteria
Description: partial 16S ribosomal RNA
Rfam family: Bacterial small subunit ribosomal RNA
Source: RNAcentral
UACGAAGGCCCCGAGCGUUAUCCGGAUUUAUUGGGCGUAAAGAGCUCACAGGUGGCCAAUCAAGUCUUCGGUUAAAUCCCGGUGCUCAACAUCGGAACUGCCGGGGAAACUAGUUGGCUUGAGGGCAGGAGAGGCAGACGGAAUUGCCGGUGUAGUAGUAAAAUGCGUUAAUAUCGGCAAGAACACCAAUAGCGAAAGCAGUCUGCUGGAAUGACCCUGACACUACACGAGCGAAAGCGUGGGUA